This 435-nucleotide ribosomal RNA is filed under the name uncultured bacterium. Its description in RNAcentral is "partial 16S ribosomal RNA". It matches the Rfam family "Bacterial small subunit ribosomal RNA", at positions 29 to 507 of the family's 1533-position model. The record is from RNAcentral.
AACGAACGCUGGCGGCAGGCUUAACACAUGCAAGUCGAACGCAUGCCUUCGGGCAUGAGUGGCAGACGGGUGAGUAACGCGUGGGAACCUACCCCUUGGUACGGGAUAGCUCCGGGAAACUGGAUAUAAUACCGUAUGUGUCCUGAGGGUCAAAGAUUCAUCGCCAAGGGAUGGGCCCGCGUCGGAUUAGCUAGUUGGUUGGGUAACGGGCUACCCAGGCGACGAUCCGUGGCUGGUCUAAGAGGAUGAUCAGCCACAUUGGGGCUGAGACACGGCCCAAACUCCGACGGAAGGCAGCAGUGGGGAAUAUUGGACAAUGGGCGCAAGCCUGAUCCAGCCAUGCCGCGUGAGUGAUGAAGGCCCUAGGGUUGUAAAGCUCUUUCACCGGUGACGAUAAUGACGGUAACCGGAGAAGAAGCCCCGGCUAACUUCGUG